GGACUAAUAGUUUAAUUGGUUGAAACGUACUGCUCAUAACAUUUAUAUUGUAGGUUCAAGCCCUACUAAGCCUA
This 74-nucleotide transfer RNA is filed under the name Eucalyptus grandis. It matches the Rfam family "tRNA". Rfam says of the family: Transfer RNA (tRNA) molecules are approximately 80 nucleotides in length. Their secondary structure includes four short double-helical elements and three loops (D, anti-codon, and T loops). Lineage: Eukaryota; Viridiplantae; Streptophyta; Magnoliopsida; Myrtales; Myrtaceae. The record is from Rfam by way of RNAcentral.